AGGGGGGACUUAAAAAGUUGCUAACUCCCAAACCAUUGUGAACAUACCUUCAACGUUGCUUCGGCGGGUUGGCCCCGGUCUCCGGGGUCCCCGGCCCUACUCGGGCGCCCGCCGGAGGUAUCUAACUCUUGAACUUUUAUGGCCUCUCUGAGUCUUUGUACUUAAUAAGUCAAAACUUUCAACAACGGAUCUCUUGGUUCUGGCAUCGAUGAAGAACGCAGCGAAAUGCGAUAAGUAAUGUGAAUUGCAGAAUUCAGUGAAUCAUCGAAUCUUUGAACGCACAUUGCGCCCGCCAGUAUUCUGGCGGGCAUGCCUGUUCGAGCGUCAUUUCAACCAUCAAGCCCCCGGCUUGUGUUGGGGACCUGCGGCUGCCGCAGGCCCUGAAAACCAGUGGCGGGCUCGCUAGUCACUCCGAGCGUAGUAAUACAUCUCGCUCAGGGCGUGCUGCGGGUUCCGGCCGUUAAAAAGCCUUAUUUACCCAAGGUUGACCUCGGAUCAGGUAGGAAGACCCGCUGAACUUAAGCAUAUCAAUAAGCGGAGGAA
Molecule: ribosomal RNA, 543 nt
Filed under: Torula sp. JZ-135
Lineage: Eukaryota; Fungi; Ascomycota; Dothideomycetes; Pleosporales; Torulaceae
Description: eukaryotic LSU rRNA
Rfam family: 5.8S ribosomal RNA (bases 174-327)
Source: RNAcentral